This 84-nucleotide transfer RNA is filed under the name Bdellovibrionales bacterium RIFOXYC1_FULL_54_43. RNAcentral's name for it is "tRNA-Leu". It matches the Rfam family "tRNA". Rfam says of the family: Transfer RNA (tRNA) molecules are approximately 80 nucleotides in length. The record is from RNAcentral. Lineage: Bacteria; Pseudomonadati; Bdellovibrionota; Bdellovibrionia; Bdellovibrionales. RNAcentral also lists the same sequence under 1 other name.
GCUCCGGUGGUGGAAUUGGUAGACACACACGAUUCAGGGUCGUGCGCCAAAAGCAUGGGAGUUCGAGUCUCCCCCGGAGCACCA